UUUUCAUCAGACAAUCUGUGUGAGCACUGCAAAGUACGCUUCUUUAAGGUAAGGAGGUGAUCCAACCGCAGGUUCCCCUACGGUUACCUUGUUACGACUUCACCCCAGUCAUGAAUCACAAAGUGGUAAGCGCCCUCCCGAAGGUUAAGCUACCUACUUCUUUUGCAACCCACUCCCAUGGUGUGACGGGCGGUGUGUACAAGGCCCGGGAACGUAUUCACCGUGGCAUUCUGAUCCACGAUUACUAGCGAUUCCGACUUCAUGGAGUCGAGUUGCAGACUCCAAUCCGGACUACGACGCACUUUAUGAGGUCCGCUUGCUCUCGCGAGGUCGCUUCUCUUUGUAUGCGCCAUUGUAGCACGUGUGUAGCCCUGGUCGUAAGGGCCAUGAUGACUUGACGUCAUCCCCACCUUCCUCCAGUUUAUCACUGGCAGUCUCCUUUGAGUUCCCGGCCGGACCGCUGGCAACAAAGGAUAAGGGUUGCGCUCGUUGCGGGACUUAACCCAACAUUUCACAACACGAGCUGACGACAGCCAUGCAGCACCUGUCUCACGGUUCCCGAAGGCACAUUCUCAUCUCUGAAAACUUCCGUGGAUGUCAAGACCAGGUAAGGUUCUUCGCGUUGCAUCGAAUUAAACCACAUGCUCCACCGCUUGUGCGGGCCCCCGUCAAUUCAUUUGAGUUUUAACCUUGCGGCCGUACUCCCCAGGCGGUCUACUUAACGCGUUAGCUCCGGAAGCCACGCCUCAAGGGCACAACCUCCAAGUAGACAUCGUUUACGGCGUGGACUACCAGGGUAUCUAAUCCUGUUUGCUCCCCACGCUUUCGCACCUGAGCGUCAGUCUUUGUCCAGGGGGCCGCCUUCGCCACCGGUAUUCCUCCAGAUCUCUACGCAUUUCACCGCUACNNNNNNNNNNNNNNNNNNNNCCCCCCUCUACAAGACUCAAGCCUGCCAGUUUCGAAUGCAGUUCCCAGGUUGAGCCCGGGGAUUUCACAUCCGACUUGACAGACCGCCUGCGUGCGCUUUACGCCCAGUAAUUCCGAUUAACGCUUGCACCCUCCGUAUUACCGCGGCUGCUGGCACGGAGUUAGCCGGUGCUUCUUCUGCGGGUAACGUCAAUUGCUGCGGUUAUUAACCACAACACCUUCCUCCCCGCUGAAAGUACUUUACAACCCGAAGGCCUUCUUCAUACACGCGGCAUGGCUGCAUCAGGCUUGCGCCCAUUGUGCAAUAUUCCCCACUGCUGCCUCCCGUAGGAGUCUGGACCGUGUCUCAGUUCCAGUGUGGCUGGUCAUCCUCUCAGACCAGCUAGGGAUCGUCGCCUUGGUGAGCCGUUACCUCACCAACAAGCUAAUCCCAUCUGGGCACAUCUGAUGGCAAGAGGCCCGAAGGUCCCCCUCUUUGGUCUUGCGACGUUAUGCGGUAUUAGCCACCGUUUCCAGUAGUUAUCCCCCUCCAUCAGGCAGUUUCCCAGACAUUACUCACCCGUCCGCCACUCGUCAGCAAAGCAGCAAGCUGCUUCCUGUUACCGUUCGACUUGCAUGUGUUAGGCCUGCCGCCAGCGUUCAAUCUGAGCCAUGAUCAAACUCUUCAAUUUAAAAGUUUGAUGCUCAAUGAAUUAAACUUCGUAAUGAAUUACGUGUUCACUCUUGAGACUUGGUAUUCAUUUUUCGU
RNAcentral lists this ribosomal RNA (1675 nucleotides) under Salmonella enterica subsp. enterica serovar Paratyphi A. RNAcentral's name for it is "16S ribosomal RNA". The record is from RNAcentral. Lineage: Bacteria; Pseudomonadati; Pseudomonadota; Gammaproteobacteria; Enterobacterales; Enterobacteriaceae.